CUUUCCCUCUUUCUUCAGGCCUAACACAUGCAAGUCGAACGGUAACAGGAAGAAGCUUGCUUCUUUGCUGACGAGUGGCGGCCGCGUGAGUAAUGUCUGGGAAACUGCAUGAUUGAGGGGGAUAACUACUGGAAACGGUAGCUACUACCGCAUAACGUCGCAAGACCUAAGAGGGGGACCUUCUGGCCUCUUGCCAUCGGCAGUGCCCAGAUGGGAUUAGCUAGUAGGGGGGGUAACGGCUCACCUAGGCGACGAUCCCUAGCUGGUCUGAGAGGAUGACCAGCCACACUGGAACUGAGACACGGUCCAGACUCCUACGGGAGGCAGCAGUGGGGAAUAUUGGACAAUGGGCGCAAGCCUGAUGCAGCCAUGCCGCGUGUGUGAAGAAGGCCUUCGGGUUGUAAAGUACUUUCAGCGGGGAGGAAGGGAGUAAAGUUAAUACCUCUCCUCACUGACGUUACCCGAAGAAGAAGCACCGGCUAACUCCGUG
RNAcentral lists this ribosomal RNA (490 nucleotides) under uncultured bacterium. RNAcentral describes it as "partial 16S ribosomal RNA". It matches the Rfam family "Bacterial small subunit ribosomal RNA", at positions 36 to 507 of the family's 1533-position model. The record is from RNAcentral.